Molecule: long non-coding RNA, 715 nt
Organism: Leopardus geoffroyi (Geoffroy's cat)
Lineage: Eukaryota; Metazoa; Chordata; Mammalia; Carnivora; Felidae
Exons: 2
Source: RefSeq, a predicted model, not a curated record
CACGGCUUCACGGGCAAAAAAGUGAAACAGACACUACUACCCUGGGGUAGUCUGCCUGUACCGAGUCAGAUGACUUGGGCUUGUGUUACGAAAGGCACACGACCACACUCUGCCUAUCGAAGUCCAUGUGCGAGUGGCAGAGGCGGAGCCUGUCAUCAGUGAGGACGUUCAGGGGAUGGGCCCGCACCGAAAAAAAGGAAAACAUUCGAAGAAGUGGUGCCUGUCUCCUUGCUUAGGUGAAAAAAAAAAAAAAGAAAAGAAACACCAAAAAACAGAAAGCAAAAGCGAUCCUUGAAAGCAAAGACACACAAAGGAUCAUUCACUACUCUUGCUUGUCCCCAAGCCUAGAAAGCGCAGGGACCUUGUUUAGGACGGUGGCCUGAGUGUGUGUGUCUCCUUCCAGAGGGGGCCACCCUGAGAAUCAAGGGAAGAUGCACUCAGUUCCUAUGGCCGUUAGCACGUCCGGGGCACCUCCCUUAAAAUAACACACUCCCUGGGGCGUCUGGGUGGCUCAGUCGGUUAAGUGGCUGACUCUCGGUUUCCGCUCAGGUCAGGAUCUCACGGUCCGUGAGUUCGAGCCCCAUGCAGGGCUCUGCACUGGUAACACAGAGCAUGCUGGGAUGCUUUCUCUCCUUGCCUCUCUCUCUCUGCCCCUCCCCUGCUCAUGCUCUCUCUUUCUCUCUCUCAAAAUAAAUAAAUAAACAAACAUAAUUUU